This 253-nucleotide ribosomal RNA is filed under the name uncultured bacterium. RNAcentral's name for it is "partial 16S ribosomal RNA". It matches the Rfam family "Bacterial small subunit ribosomal RNA", at positions 524 to 776 of the family's 1533-position model. The record is from RNAcentral.
UACGAAGGGGGCUAGCGUUGCUCGGAAUUACUGGGCGUAAAGCGCACGUAGGCGGCUUUCUAAGUCGGGGGUGAAAUCCUGGAGCUCAACUCCAGAACUGCCUUCGAUACUGGCAAGCUAGAGUCCGGAAGAGGUGAGUGGAACUCCUAGUGUAGAGGUGGAAUUCGUAGAUAUUAGGAAGAACACCAGUGGCGAAGGCGGCUCACUGGUCCGGUACUGACGCUGAGGUGCGAAAGCGUGGGGAGCAAACAGG